Molecule: non-coding RNA, 740 nt
Organism: Phascolarctos cinereus (koala)
Lineage: Eukaryota; Metazoa; Chordata; Mammalia; Diprotodontia; Phascolarctidae
Source: RefSeq, a predicted model, not a curated record
AUCAGUUGAAGAUUACAAAGCAUCUUAUUGAAAUAAAUGAGAACUCUGAAUGGCAUAGAAAGAUUGAGAUGGGGAAGCUGAGGCUUAGAGCAGUUAUGACUCGCCCAAGAUGACAAGCUUGGUAUUGAGAUGAGCAACUCCCAUGGAUCAGGGCCCACCGUCCUCACCACCACCCUGUCAUUGACGGGCAUGCACCCUAAGGACCAUGGAAGCAGCAGCAUCCCACAGACCCCUGGCUCUUCCUGUAGCCCAACCCUACUGUAGUUAAUAUCCAGGAAAACACUUCUUGUGAAGAAAAGGGCAGAUAUCCCCACCAACUGCAACUUAUGGGGUCAACUAGGCAGCUUAAUUGAAGAAGCAAGUAACCUUGAGGGAGAGAUAGUCAGGAUAUCCCAGGCAAGUCAAACUACUGCCACCAUCUUGAUUAGCACCUUCCCUUGGACCCAGUUCACUAAGCUCAAGGGCCUUGGGAAUAGAAGCAACCCUUAGGCCAACCAUCAUUAAGGAUAGCAACUCUUUAGAUGCUUACUGCUUCUGCACGGACUGAAGCCUCUCCCUCCUCAGGAGCCACAGCCGUUACAGAGCUAGAAAAAAAGUUCUCACCACCACAGAAUGGUUCAACAUGAGAAAUAAAUAUCUUAUAAGUAGAAAUGUCACUAAAUAAGAUGCAUGCUGCUGUACGCAGCUGUACACCAGGAGCCAUGGUAUUUUUCUAUCAGACGUGCAGCCUAAAUCUCUUA